Molecule: ribosomal RNA, 589 nt
Filed under: uncultured bacterium
Lineage: Bacteria
Description: bacterial SSU rRNA
Rfam family: Bacterial small subunit ribosomal RNA
Source: RNAcentral
CCUACGGGAGGCAGCAGUGGGGAAUCUUGGACAAUGGGCGCAAGCCUGAUCCAGCCAUGCCGCGUGAGUGAAGAAGGCCUUCGGGUUGUAAAGCUCUUUUGUCAGGGACGAUAAUGACGGUACCUGAAGAAUAAGCCCCGGCAAACUUCGUGCCAGCAGCCGCGGUAAUACGAAGGGGGCUAGCGUCGUUCGGAUUUACUGGGCGUAAAGCGUACGUAGGCGGAUUGUUAAGUGAGAGGUGAAAUCCCAGGGCUCAACCCUGGAACUGCCUUUCAUACUGGUAAUCUUGAGUUCGGAAGAGGUGAGUGGAAUUCCUAGUGUAGAGGUGAAAUUCGUAGAUAUUAGGAAGAACACCGGUGGCGAAGGCGGCUCACUGGUCCGAUACUGACGCUGAGGUACGAAAGCGUGGGGAGCAAACGGGAUUAGAUACCCUGGUAGUCCACGCCGUAAACUAUGGGUGCUAGCCGUUGGAAAGCUUGCUUUUCAGUGGCGCAGCUAACGCAUUAAGCACCCCGCCUGGGGAGUACGGUCGCAAGAUUAAAACUCAAAUGAAUUGACGGCNGAAGAGUGCGAGAGACACGAGGAGAGG